This is a non-coding RNA of Paramuricea clavata, 541 nucleotides long. The record is from the annotation of a GenBank genome assembly. NCBI's taxonomy places the organism in Eukaryota, Metazoa, Cnidaria, Anthozoa, Malacalcyonacea, Plexauridae.
CGUUUUUACAACACACAAGAGUAAACAACACCCUGACGCAGCCCCCUCCUUCUCGCCCCCCCCCCUCUCCGGUCCUAAUUUCUUUGUCUUACACUUUCUCUGUCUUGGCGAUCAGCACAGAAAGAGCAGUUACAACCUGUAAACUAGGGUUUUAUGCAUUGUACAUCAUUAUUUAUUCAUAAAACAACGUUAAUUACUCAAAUUCCAUUAGUUAAUCAGCUUCCGCGGCGUGUUUGGCCAAUUUGAAUAGUAAAAUAUCCAAAUGGCCAUCCCGCCACGGAUCACUGAUUAAGCAUUGGGGAAAAGGAAGGUCCAUUGUUUCCAAAUGAAGCACGGAAAUGAAUUCCUCCGCAGUUCAGUUACUACUCGCUCCCAACACUACAUCUCCCCCCAUAUACCCAAACCCCCAUUCUCAUAUACCCAAACACCCAUUCUCAUAUACCCAAGCCGCCAUUCUCAUAUACCAAACCCCCCCUGCUCCAAUACCCUACAACCCCGCCGAUUCGAAUGUGCCACACAGAAAAACCAAACUAUAAUCUAU